CCUACGGGGGACAGCAGUGGGGAAUUUUCCGCAAUGGGCGAAAGCCUGACGGAGCAAUGCCGCGUGAAGGUAGAAGGCCUACGGGUCAUGAACUUCUUUUCCCGGAGAAGAAGCAAUGACGGUAUCCGGGGAAUAAGCAUCGGCUAACCCUGUGCCAGCAGCCGCAGUAAGACAGAGGAUGCAAGCGUUAUCCGGAAUGAUUGGGCGUAAAGCGUCUGUAGGUGGCUUUAUAAGUUCGCCGUCAAAUCCCAGGGCUCAACCCUGGACAGGCGGUGGAAAUUACCAAGCUGGAGUACAGUAGGGGCAGAGGGAAUUUCCGGUGGAGCGGUGAAAUGCGUAGAGAUAGGAAAGAACACCAGCGGCGAAGGCACGCUGCUGGGCCGACACUGACACUGAGGGACGAAAGCUAGGGGAGCGAAUGGGAUUAGAUACCCGUGUAGUC
This 442-nucleotide ribosomal RNA is filed under the name uncultured bacterium. RNAcentral's name for it is "partial 16S ribosomal RNA". It matches the Rfam family "Bacterial small subunit ribosomal RNA", at positions 338 to 795 of the family's 1533-position model. The record is from RNAcentral.